GGUCCCAUGGUGUAAUGGUUAGCACUCUGGACUUUGAAUCCAGUGAUCCGAGUUCAACUCUCGGUGGGACCU
This is a non-coding RNA of Oreochromis niloticus (Nile tilapia), 72 nucleotides long. The record is from Rfam. Lineage: Eukaryota; Metazoa; Chordata; Actinopteri; Cichliformes; Cichlidae.